CCUACGGGUGGCAGCAGUGGGGAAUAGUGCACAAUGGGGGAAACCCUGAUGCAGCGACGCCGCGUGAGUGAAGAAGUAAUUCGUUAUGUAAAGCUCUAUCAGCAGGGAAGAAAAUGACGGUACAGGAGUAAGAAGCACCGGCGAACUACGUGCCAGCAGACGCGGGAAUACGUAGGGGGCAAGCGUUAUCCGGAUUUACUGGGUGUAAAGGGAGCGUAGACGGCAGUGCAAGUCUGGAGUGAAAGGCGGGGGCUCAACCCCCGGACUGCUCUGGAAACUGUACGGCUGGAGUGCAGGAGAGGUAAGUGGAUUUCCUAGUGUCGCGGUGACAUGCGUAGAUAUUAGGAGGAACACCAGUGGCGAAGGCGGCUUACUGGACUGUACCUGACGUUGCGGCUCGAACGUGUGGGUAUCAAACAGGAUUAGAUACCCCAGUAGUC
RNAcentral lists this ribosomal RNA (440 nucleotides) under uncultured bacterium. Its description in RNAcentral is "partial 16S ribosomal RNA". It matches the Rfam family "Bacterial small subunit ribosomal RNA", at positions 338 to 795 of the family's 1533-position model. The record is from RNAcentral.